GACGAACGCUGGCGGCGUGCUUAACACAUGCAAGUCGAACGGAAAGGCCCUGCUUGCAGGGUACUCGAGUGGCGAACGGGUGAGUAACACGUGGGUGAUCUGCCCUGCACUUCGGGAUAAGCCUGGGAAACUGGGUCUAAUACCGGAUAGGAGCCAUUUUUAGUGUGAUGGUUGGAAAGUUUUUUCGGUGUAGGAUGAGCUCGCGGCCUAUCAGCUUGUUGGUGGGGUAAUGGCCUACCAAGGCGGCGACGGGUAGCCGGCCUGAGAGGGUGGACGGCCACAUUGGGACUGAGAUACGGCCCAGACUCCUACGGGAGGCAGCAGUGGGGAAUAUUGCACAAUGGGCGCAAGCCUGAUGCAGCGACGCUGCGUGGGGGAUGACGGCCUUCGGGUUGUAAACUCCUUUCGCUAGGGACGAAGCUUUUUGUGACGGUACCUAGAUAAGAAGCACCGGCUAACUACGUG
RNAcentral lists this ribosomal RNA (465 nucleotides) under uncultured bacterium. RNAcentral describes it as "partial 16S ribosomal RNA". It matches the Rfam family "Bacterial small subunit ribosomal RNA", at positions 28 to 507 of the family's 1533-position model. The record is from RNAcentral.